This 627-nucleotide long non-coding RNA is filed under the name Chrysemys picta bellii (western painted turtle). RNAcentral's name for it is "lncRNA (ENSCPBG00000020853.1)". The record is from RNAcentral. Lineage: Eukaryota; Metazoa; Chordata; Testudines; Emydidae.
CAGGGACAGAGCAGAAUUUCUCUUGUUCCUCCAUGGUGCCCUGCCCCUUUAUGUUGGCUGCUAAUCACAGGUGUCCUGACUUAUUUAAGGAAACAGAGUAUCACCAGCCUAAUGGAGUCUGUGCCUGGAAGUGACUGUUCAUCACAGCCGCGCAGCUCAUGCUUCUCUGCCUCGUUUCUGCUGUUAUCAGUGCCCCUGUGUUUAGGGGAGGAAAACGAGAUAUUUUGCAUUCAUUGAGGAAGCACUGCAGCCUGCAUGAUGACACGUAUUGAAUCAGAACUGUCUCCAUCAAAUUGCAGCUCAUCUGAAAAUACGCCUUCUGCUGCUGCCUCUUAAAGGAAGUUUGCAGUCUAAGAACCGAGAUCCUGGGACACUGGAGCAUGACUAAAAACAGCCAGAGAGGGAAUCUGGAGGAUGUCUUCCAAGAGGGAGUUCAGAAACAGAGUCCUCAAUGGGUAAAAUGUAGCCUGCACUCUUGUGGAACCUAGGAACCAAACACUGAUGACCAUGAAUUACAGUCACAUAGUAUGGCAGACUGCCUCUGCAUCUGUCUAUCUCUGCAUGUAUCAACAAGAAUUGCAUAAUGUGGCAGCUAAGUUUGUACCUCACCUACCCAAAUCUUUGAAG